GAUAAGUAAUGUGAAUUGCAGAAUUCAGUGAAUCAUCGAAUCUUUGAACGCAACUUGCGCUCCUUGGUAUUCCAAGGAGCAUGCCUGUUUGAGUGUCGCGAAAUAUACUUCAGAAAUGAGAGUUGGGUGACUGCUCUUUAUUGGGCUGACCUGAAAUGUAUAGAAGCAAGUUGGACGCUAAAGUUGAGGCCCAACUUUGCAAAGACACCUUUGACCUCAAAUCAGGUAGGACUACCCGCUGAACUUAAGCAUAUCAAUAAGCGGAGGAAAAGAAACUAACGAGGAUUCCCUUAGUAACGGCGAGUGAAGAGGGAUAAGCUCAAAUUUGAAAUCUGGCUUUUAGCCCGAGUUGUAGUUUCGAGAAGCGUUUUCUGCGCCACACUGUGUACAAGUCUCUUGGAAUGGAGCCUCAUAGAGGGUGAGAAGCCCGUCUACGACACAGAAGUGAAGUGUGUGCUUUGUGAUGCGCUCUCAAAGAGUCGAGUUGUUUGGGAAUGCAGCUCAAAAUGGGUGGUAAAUUCCAUCUAAAGCUAAAUACAGGCGAGAGACCGAUAGCGAACAAGUACCGUGAGGGAAAGAUGAAAAGCACUUUGAAAAGAGAGUCAAACAGUACGUGAAAUUGUUGAAAGGGAAACGCUUGAAGUCAGUCGCGUGACUUGAGAUUCAGCUCUUUAAGAGUGUAUUUCUCUUGUUGACGGGCCAGGAUGAAUUUUGACUUGUGGAGAAAGGUUAAGAGGAAGGUGGCACUCCUUUGGGAGUGUGUUAUAGCUUCUUAAUCAGACAACAUGAGUUAAGAUUGAGGAUAGCAGCAUGGGCUUUUUAAAGUCCAACGGGGUUCGCCCACGUUUUUAAUGCUUAGGAUACUGGCGUAAUGGCUUUAAGCGACCCGUCUUGAAACACGGACCAAGGAGUCUAACAGGCUCGCGAGUAGUUGAGUGUUUAAAACUCAAGUGCGGAAUGAAAGUGAAAGUAGUUGGGACCUCUGUCGUGGAGGGCACCGACGCCCAGACCAGAGCCAUUUGGUGACGGAUCUGAGGUAGAGCGAGUCUGUUGGGACCCGAAAGAUGGUGAACUAUGCCUGAAUAGGGUGAAGCCAGAGGAAACUCUGGUGGAAGCUCGUAGCGAUUCUGACGUGCAAAUCGAUCGUCAAAUUUGGGUAUAGGGGCGAAAGACUAAUCGAACCAUCUAGUAGCUGGUUCCUGCCGAAGUUUCCCUCAGGAUAGCAGAAGCUCGUUDUCAGAUUUAUGUGGUAAAGCGAAUGAUUAGAGGCCUUGGGGUUGAAAUGACCUUAACCUAUUCUCAAACUUUAAAUAUGUAAGAACAAGUUGUCACUUGAUUUGGACAGCUUGGUGAAUGGGAGCUCUAGUGGGCAUUUUUGGUAAGCAGAACUGGCGAUGCGGGAUGAACCGAUCGCGGGGUUAAGGUGCCGGAAUGCACGCUCAUCAGACACCACAAAAGGUGUUAGUUCAUCUAGACAGCAGGACGGUGGCCAUGGAAGUUGGAAUCCGCUAAGGAGUGUGUACAACUCACCUGCCGAAUGAACUAGCCCUGAAAAGGAUGGCGCUCAACGUGUUAACCAUACCCCGCUGUCAGUGUUGAAGUGAACACUGACAAGUAGGCAGGCGUUGAGGUCCUUUUAUCAGAAGCCUUGGCARUAAUGCUGGGUGGAACGGCCUCUAGUGC
This 1683-nucleotide ribosomal RNA is filed under the name Stereopsis radicans. RNAcentral's name for it is "eukaryotic LSU rRNA". The stretch from base 212 to 1683 matches the Rfam family "Eukaryotic large subunit ribosomal RNA", at positions 1 to 1445 of the family's 3401-position model. The record is from RNAcentral. Lineage: Eukaryota; Fungi; Basidiomycota; Agaricomycetes; Stereopsidales; Stereopsidaceae.